Molecule: unclassified non-coding RNA, 303 nt
Filed under: uncultured fungus
Lineage: Eukaryota; Fungi
Description: sequence contains 5.8S rRNA gene
Rfam family: 5.8S ribosomal RNA (bases 1-53)
Source: RNAcentral
GAACGCACCUUGCGCUCUCUGGUAUUCCGGAGAGCAUGCCUGUUUGAGUGUCAUAAACUCUUCAACCCACCGGUUCCUUGUUGAACCGAGUUGGUGUUUGGAUUUUGAGUGUUUGCUUUUCAUUAAGCUCAUUCGUAAUACAUUAGCAUCUCAAUUUCGUAAUCGGAUUGACUCAGCGUAAUAGACUAUUCGCUGAGGACACUUUUAUUAGUGGCCGAGAAUGAAAAAGUUAGAAGCUUCGAACCCUUCUAGUCAACUUUAGAUUAGACCUCAGAUCAGGCAGGAUUACCCGCUGAACUUAAG